Molecule: non-coding RNA, 45 nt
Organism: Schistosoma curassoni
Lineage: Eukaryota; Metazoa; Platyhelminthes; Trematoda; Strigeidida; Schistosomatidae
Source: Rfam
AUCCAGCUGACGAGUUCGAACUAGGACGAAAUGCGAGUUCUGGGU